Long non-coding RNA from Sinocyclocheilus grahami, 649 nucleotides. RefSeq lists it as uncharacterized. The transcript is spliced from 2 exons. NCBI's taxonomy places the organism in Eukaryota, Metazoa, Chordata, Actinopteri, Cypriniformes, Cyprinidae. The record is from RefSeq and is a predicted model, not a curated record.
UCAAAAUUAGUUCGGAAGAGAAAACUCAUCUACAUCUUCGAUUGCCUGAGAGUGAGUAAAGUGUCAACAAAUGUUCAUUUAAGGAUGAACUACUUUAAGAUAUUGUGCUACUACAGUAAAUAUAAUAUUGCAAUAAGUGUAUGAUGUGCUUGUAAGGAAAAAAUUAUGCAACUACUUCCAAUAGGGCUGUAGUGUUGUGCGAUUCCUGAGUUAAUAUUUAUAUUCUUUGGAGAUGAUUUAUCAAGAAGAGUAAAUUAAAUGAUUUGAUGGCAUUUCAGUGAAUAAACUAUUUAUGGUUUUUAGGUACAUUCCUAUUAUAAAGAGCAUUUCUAUACAAAUAUAACACAUUUCAUUUUCUUCUGUAUUAAUGACUUCUUUUUAUAAUGAUAAAAAUUCACCCAAAUGGCGAUUAGUUUGACUUGCAAAGCCACAUUUGACAUGCUGUUUGCCAUUGAUUGUGCUUUGUUAGUGGCUCCGCAGAGUAAAUGGAAUAUUUGACUGUGAAAUGGAACAUUAGAGGCUCAGGUGCCGUUUCCUCGCCCCUGUUGAAUGAUGUCAUGUAGCAAACAUGCUGAACACAGCUAAGCUUAAGAAAGACAGAACUAAAUGUCUCUCAGUUCAGCAAAUAAAAUUAUUUUUGGAAGUUAAA